This 497-nucleotide ribosomal RNA is filed under the name uncultured bacterium. Its description in RNAcentral is "partial 16S ribosomal RNA". It matches the Rfam family "Bacterial small subunit ribosomal RNA", at positions 28 to 507 of the family's 1533-position model. The record is from RNAcentral.
GAUGAACGCUGGCGGCGUGCCUAAUACAUGCAAGUCGAGCGAACAGACGAGGAGCUUGCUCCUCUGACGUUAGCGGCGGACGGGUGAGUAACACGUGGAUAACCUACCUAUAAGACUGGGGUAACUUCGGGAAACCGGAGACAAUACCGGAUAAUAUAUUGAACGGCAUGGUUCAAUAGUGAAAGACGGUUUUGCUGUCACUUAUAGAUGGAUCCGCGCCGCAUUAGCUAGUUGGUAAGGUAACGGCUUACCAAGGCAACGAUGCGUAGCCGACCUGAGAGGGUGAUCAGCCACACUGGAACUGAGACACGGUCCAGACUCCUACGGGAGGCAGCAGUAGGGAAUCUUCCGCAAUGGGCGAAAGCCUGACGGAGCAACGCCGCGUGAGUGAUGAAGGUCUUCGGAUCGUAAAACUCUGUUAUUAGGGAAGAACAAAUGUGUAAGUAACUAUGCACGUCUUGACGGUACCUAAUCAGAAAGCCACGGCUAACUACGUG